ACUUGAAACAUUCUGAGUGUGCCUGCAGUAGGGUCUCAGAGGAGUUGCUCUGAAAGCUGUUGAGAGCAGCCACCUUUGCUGUCACUGAGACCUUGGCAGGGUCAGCUCUGGUGGGCCGUGUGCACCCAGGCUCUGAUGGCACCAGGAUGGCUUCCUGCAACCCGGAACCUGAUCCUAGCCCCCGGCAGAGCAUAAGGGCCCGAGGCCAGGGACCUAGAGGCCGGACCAAGUUCGCGCGAGGUGUUCACAGCCUAGGCGCCCCGGGCUUGGCUUCGUACUCUGCAACAAGCCAAGCUCCCUUGCCACGAGUAUAUCAGCAACUUCAGAAAUAAACACCAGCGAAACCCCUUCCCACAUUAGCUUGUUGCUGUGCUACUGACACUGGGCUUAGUCGAUGUUCACACCUAUUACAUUUUUCCGGAAAGUGGGAGGAGCAGGGGGUAGAGAAAGCUGUGUGUAUUGAGGGAAGGGGAGAUGUGUGCAACACCUUCCAGAAAAAUGGGGAGGUAGUUUAGAAAGUUUUUCUCUGUAACAGCACAACUUCUGAGAAGGCAGAGAGAAGAAAGCAGACAGGAAACGAAUCCCUUCCUCCUCUCCCCUUUACCCCCUUCCUUCACUCCCUAGACCAAGCUGGUCAGCCGGCUGGGAAUCAAGAUUGUGUGGCUGGGAAGACACCAGUCUCUGUGCUCGGGUUCAGCCCAGUCGGGCAAGAAAGUGUGGGCAGCUGGAGAAGGUCGUCACAGUCUCCCGUGGAAUCUUGUUGCCUGAGAGUCCCAUAACGGAAAGGGCUAAGACGACUCUUCCACACACAGGUCGCAGCCCCUGCCGCGGAGGAUCCCCAGGAAGAUGCUGGGGACGCUCUGAGCGACGGCCUUUCUUUACCCCCGACUCCCUGGAGCUUGGUCUGGGGAUGCCAACUUGGGGCACGGAGGCGCCGGGCUGCUCCGAAGCUGGAGGGUUUCUGCUUGGGUCAGAGGGAUCACGACCUCAGCAGAGCCAGGAGAGGUUGGGUGACACCCACUGCGUAUUGCACUUGACUCAAAACUGCCCUCGGCCUGCGGAAGAGGCGAGGGCAAGAAGCCUGGUGGCGGGUCAAACCUUCACCCUAUUAUUUUCUAUCAUUUUUUAUGCCCAUAUAUUUGUUAAGUGUAUGGCUGCUAUACACCAACAGCUUAUUCUACAAGAAGUGCCCCCGAGGAGGAUUGGGUUAAGCUUUGCAAAUUUGGCUUCCCAGGUAAUGCGCUUCAGUAUUCUGCUCCCGACUUACCCACCACACCAGUGGGUACCCGGAGCAGCACCCACUUGGCAGAGCUGAUGACUGCUUGGGCCCAGCGGAGUGCGCAUUGCGCUAACACGCGCACGGGAAUUGCACCCUUGCCGGAGCCUCCGCACCGUGCGCCCUUCAAAGAGCUGGCGACCCCGCUCACGUGUAAGCAACCUCCCACUUUGAAACUAAUUCGCACCCGGGUCUUUCACCCCAAAGGACUUUGCUGCGGACGCUGCUCUGACCCAAGACGCGGGAGAGAAGUCCCAAAGGCUACAGCCAGGGGCUGGGGGACUCCUCUGCUCACCUUAGUCCUUGAUUUCGAAGGCCCCAAUUAACUAUCUGUUGUGUCAGAAUCGGCGAGUGCAAAGUGGCUGCGCCCCGCUGACGCGCUCUCUCCUGGGUCCGGGUAUCCCAGGGCAUCCGGAGCUGGGGAGGGUUGUGCGGACUACCCAAGGCACGCGCAGAUACCGGGCAGGGAAGAAGGGCUCCGUGUUCCAAGGAUGGUCGUUUACCUCUCCUGAGGUCAGCCCUGAUCCCUUGGUAACUUAAGCGCCUCUGAACUCGGGGAGCGCUUGGUGGGGCGCCUCCCUGCAUCCAUCCCUACCCCUGGCUCCUUCCCAGGCCCAGCAUCUUUCCCACCAUUCUCACCCCCACCACCCCCACGGCCCCGCCCGUUUAGAGGCGUGCGGUGGGCACUUGGUUUACAGAACCGGCGUUUCAGAUGUUUAUUUGCAACUAAUUUCUUGUGCUGGAAAAUGCUUGUUACCCGGGCGGAGCGCUUCCGCUCUGCGCGGUCCGGCCCGGCGGGCGGUAGCUCGCUGAUCCCUCCGGCGAAGCCUCCAAGGAGCGGGCGGCUGGGAGAGGUUGUGCCACCCGGGACCAAGCCAUCGGCGCUGCUCCGGACUCCCGGUAGGGGGAGCCGCCGCGGGCGCCAGGCCGGAUUGUGUUCUGGCCUCGGGGCGGCCCUGCUGCCAGCGGCCAGGACUCUCAGCACAGAGCUCGGGAGGACUCCACCUGCUCUCCAGAUAAGGCGCCAUGAGCAGAGAAGGGAACAGAGGGCCAAGCUCCCUCCUAAUUCCCCGUUGUUGCAGAGCAAAGAAGAUGGGGGAGAACUAAUUAUAUUCUCUAGGUCUAAAUAUUGUUGAAAAAUUUGUAGGUGAGAUCACCUCCUUUGCCCAUAUCCAUAUAUAAUAUAUCCAUUACAUGUGUUUGCCCAUAUAUAUACGUAUGCCAUAUGUAAAUAUGUACGAGUGUGUAUGUAUGUGUAUAGCAGUGGUUUAGAUUUAGUCUCAGUUCCACAAAUUUUGAGCCCUUUUAAUAUUUUAGGUGACCUAAUACCUUCUCACUGUAUUUUCCAAGUCACUUAUUUCCAAGAGUUUUAGGUGAUCCCAGCAUAGGAGCUGAGCAAAGGAGCUCAGAUGAGACUUGCCAGUUUUGCUGCAGUAAUGUCAGCAAAAGAGUCUCUCUCUUUCUGACUCUAUAGACUUAAGUAAGGGUUUGCAGGCUUUCAUUUUAAGGUAUGACUGAUGUUUAGAGAACAAGACUAAACCAAGGUCAAGGGGAAAACAGUUAGACUGUGAACCUGCAGACCACUCCACUGCACCCAGUGUGGCCGUACACCUGUGCUGAACGGCCAGAGACUUCCUGGUCAAUACUCCCACAGAUAAAAGACUGCAGGCUCUGCUUAUACACAAAUCCAUCUUUCGCUGGGAACCCACAACUCAUAACAACUCUCCUAAUGCCAAGUCAUCAAGGCCUCUUGAAAGAGAAUCAUAAAAAACAAAGAAUUUCAAACUUGGAAGGAAACCUAAAGUUUACUGGUGAGGAGCUUGAACUGAGUAGAAGCAAAGAAUCAUACUCCAGAUGAGAAACACCCCAUGCACUGAGCUGAGACUGGAACUCUCCUCUUCUGACUCUCAGUCCAGUAAGUUUGACUACACAGCACUCAUUAUCAUUGUGAUUAUUAUGUUCCCACAUAUUUUGUCGUUCUUAGUUAGGCAUACUCCUUUAACACUAUUGUAAUAAAAGCAAAAUCUGGAAGAUCUUU
RNAcentral lists this non-coding RNA (3314 nucleotides) under Pan troglodytes (chimpanzee). Lineage: Eukaryota; Metazoa; Chordata; Mammalia; Primates; Hominidae. The record is from RNAcentral.